This 234-nucleotide long non-coding RNA is filed under the name Ananas comosus (pineapple). RNAcentral's name for it is "long non-coding RNA (ACOM_LNC016810)". Lineage: Eukaryota; Viridiplantae; Streptophyta; Magnoliopsida; Poales; Bromeliaceae. The record is from RNAcentral.
AGAUCAAUAGCGUGCGGGGUUAUGAGGAGAGUAUAUGACAUCCAAAUAGUCCUAUAUAAGAUAAUGCGGAGAGUAUAAUAGGUUUAUAAGGGACAUACACACUAGUUAUAAUAAUUACGAUUAAAUAUUUUGGACUGAUAGUUUAUGCCUAAUAAAUUACUAUUAUUAGUGAAUCAAAUCGUUACAAUACCCGACGUGAUAGGCGAGCAUACCUACUUUGCACUUAAACCUCAA